RNAcentral lists this long non-coding RNA (904 nucleotides) under Homalodisca vitripennis (glassy-winged sharpshooter). RNAcentral's name for it is "uncharacterized LOC124367132, transcript variant X1". Lineage: Eukaryota; Metazoa; Arthropoda; Insecta; Hemiptera; Cicadellidae. The record is from RNAcentral.
UUAAUUAUUCCCAACGCUGACACAGCUCUCCGGUCGCCACUGCUACAAAUCUCAACUACUUCUCAAUGAAUAUUAAAUUUACUACAGUGACUACGUGAAUAUGUUAGAUCGUUUGAGUUAUUGUUUGGCUGAUUUGUGACCUCUGGCUAUAUGGUUGCCUCUGCUACAUCGGUCUCUAAAUUGCAGCAGUGGUGAUGUCGUACUUUGUGAUUUUUUUUACAGUUCCACAUUCAAGAACUAUCUUUUUAGCCUUAUGGUAAAAACUCUACCAUAAAAAUGAGACUGUGUCUAGGAACUCACACUUGCAUAUUGUAUUUUAUCUAGUAUAUUAAACAUACUAUGUGAACAGAGUACAUUCAGGUGGAUGGUGGUUUGGCCUGGAACUGGAUCAGUAUCACCAGGUACGUUGUCACCGCUCCAGCCAUCUGUACAGACAGAACACGCUGUCAGUCUACAUUCUAUAUCAAGUUUGGAGCUACAUCAUAUAUGAGAUAUAGAUAGUAUAGUAUUCAGGAUUGUUAUUAUAGUAUACACAAUAUAAUUAAACUGGACAGUUUUCAUACAAAAGUAAAUAUCUACCGCUGUGAGGGUUUCGUUAUGGAUCGGAAAAUAUCCAAGAGCAGAGAAUCUUACGUUGUGAUGAGGAAACUGCAGGAGAAACCCUUCCAGCUGGAAAAAGACCCCAAAGAUUUUAACCAAUUUAUUGUAACAUUUUUUAUGCAUUUAAUUUUAUAUCUUAAGGGUGCAAAGGGGUUUAAUCUGCAACUGGCGAUCAGUAUGUGAGACUUUUGUAUUGUCCAUUAAAUCAAAAUAGUCAAUUUAACUGUGAAUAUAUGCUAUAUAAUUAAUAAUUGCUUUCUCUUUGUCUCUCUGUAACUCUGUUUUUAGAAUCAACAUGUUGUAU